This is a long non-coding RNA of Vigna unguiculata (cowpea), 762 nucleotides long. NCBI's taxonomy places the organism in Eukaryota, Viridiplantae, Streptophyta, Magnoliopsida, Fabales, Fabaceae. The record is from RefSeq and is a predicted model, not a curated record.
GACGGCGAGUGAUGAAAACGACAUCAACGUGGAACAAGUCGUAGUAUAGGUUAUGCCCCUAAUGACAUAGGAUCGUGACACGUGGGCGUUAUUUCUCUUAACACAUUCUCACUGUAUUCCUUAUAAAUUAGGGUCACGUCUCGUUGAAACUCAUUGUAACUAAUUGGGUAUUUGUUUUUCGUCAUUUUUUCUUUGUUCUGCACUUCUGUGUAUCUCUCUUCUUCCAUUUUCAAAAUGUCUGGCUGUGGGUGUGGAAGCAGCUGCAACUGUGGCAGCAACUGCAGUUGCAAUAAGUACUCUUUUGACUUGAGCUAUGCUGAGAAAGAAGAGAGUCUAGUCUUGGGUGUUGGGCCUGUGAAGGCCCAAUUUGAAGGUGGUGAAAUGGGUGUUGCAGCUGAGGACAGUGGUUGUAAGUGUGGAUCAAACUGCACUUGUGACCCAUGUAACUGCAAAUAGGUGAAGAAGAAAGCUUGAAGCAGAGAUAACUGUGAUAUAUGUAUCAAAAGUACACACUUGAUAAUAAGAAACAUGUUGUGUUUGGUUUCAACUUUGGUUUGGAGUUUUACAAUAAAGUGGUCAUGGUUUACCCUUUUACAAGUUCAAAAGCUCUAGAAUUUGUCGCAGGUGUUUUAUGCUAUGGUUACUUUGUGUUUGGUUUGUAACAUAACUAUGUGUGAUUUGAAUUAUCAAUGAAUCUCUGCUCAUAAAUGAAAUGUUAUUGCUGUUAUUAUAUGAAUAAAAUGUUUGCUGAUUUCACCUUGA